UACAAUUCCGUUUGUCGCCGAUAGAUAGC
RNAcentral lists this small RNA (29 nucleotides) under Bombyx mori (domestic silkworm). Its description in RNAcentral is "piRNA piR-bmo-1842088". Lineage: Eukaryota; Metazoa; Arthropoda; Insecta; Lepidoptera; Bombycidae. The record is from RNAcentral.